This 468-nucleotide ribosomal RNA is filed under the name uncultured bacterium. RNAcentral describes it as "partial 16S ribosomal RNA". It matches the Rfam family "Bacterial small subunit ribosomal RNA", at positions 28 to 507 of the family's 1533-position model. The record is from RNAcentral.
GACGAACGCUGGCGGCGUGCUUAACACAUGCAAGUCGAACGGAAAGGCCCUGCUUUUGUGGGGUGCUCGAGUGGCGAACGGGUGAGUAACACGUGAGUAACCUGCCCUUGACUUUGGGAUAACUUCAGGAAACUGGGGCUAAUACCGGAUAGGAGCUCCUGCUGCAUGGUGGGGGUUGGAAAGUUUCGGCGGUUGGGGAUGGACUCGCGGCUUAUCGGCUUGUUGGUGGGGUAGUGGCUUACCAAGGCUUUGAAGGGUAGCCGGCCUGAGCGGGUGACCGGCCACAUUGGGACUGAGAUACGACCCAGACUCCAACGGGACGCAACGGUGGGGAGUAUUGCACUAUGGGCGGAAGCCUGAUGCAACAACGCCGCGUGCGGGAUGACGGCCUGCGGGUUGUGAACCGCUUUCGCCUGUGACGAAGCGUGAGUGACGGUAAUGGGUAAAGAAGCACCGGCUAACUACGUG